Molecule: ribosomal RNA, 744 nt
Filed under: Cytobacillus oceanisediminis
Lineage: Bacteria; Bacillati; Bacillota; Bacilli; Caryophanales; Bacillaceae
Description: bacterial SSU rRNA
Rfam family: Bacterial small subunit ribosomal RNA
Source: RNAcentral
AGAGUUUGAUCCUGGCUCAGGACGAACGCUGGCGGCGUGCCUAAUACAUGCAAGUCGAGCGGACAGAUGGGAGCUUGCUCCCUGAAGUCAGCGGCGGACGGGUGAGUAACACGUGGGCAACCUGCCUGUAAGACUGGGAUAACUCCGGGAAACCGGGGCUAAUACCGGAUAAUUCUUUCCCUCACAUGAGGGAAAGCUGAAAGAUGGUUUCGGCUAUCACUUACAGAUGGGCCCGCGGCGCAUUAGCUAGUUGGUGAGGUAACGGCUCACCAAGGCAACGAUGCGUAGCCGACCUGAGAGGGUGAUCGGCCACACUGGGACUGAGACACGGCCCAGACUCCUACGGGAGGCAGCAGUAGGGAAUCUUCCGCAAUGGACGAAAGUCUGACGGAGCAACGCCGCGUGAGUGAUGAAGGUUUUCGGAUCGUAAAACUCUGUUGUUAGGGAAGAACAAGUACCGGAGUAACUGCCGGUACCUUGACGGUACCUAACCAGAAAGCCACGGCUAACUACGUGCCAGCAGCCGCGGUAAUACGUAGGUGGCAAGCGUUGUCCGGAAUUAUUGGGCGUAAAGCGCGCGCAGGCGGUUCCUUAAGUCUGAUGUGAAAGCCCCCGGCUCAACCGGGGAGGGUCAUUGGAAACUGGGGAACUUGAGUGCAGAAGAGAAGAGUGGAAUUCCACGUGUAGCGGUGAAAUGCGUANANAAUGUGGAGGAACACCAGGGCGAAGGCGANUNNNGNUCUG